This 248-nucleotide long non-coding RNA is filed under the name Elaeis guineensis (African oil palm). RNAcentral describes it as "long non-coding RNA (EGUI_LNC006003)". The record is from RNAcentral. Lineage: Eukaryota; Viridiplantae; Streptophyta; Magnoliopsida; Arecales; Arecaceae.
UAGAGGAUUAAAAAUUUAAAACUUUAUAUUAUUAUGCUUGAGAUUUACCCCAUUAAAUAUAUAUUCAAGGGCUUGUACAAGAUAAAUACCAACUCAUCCUAUAGUAAUACCCAGCCAAUAUAUCCCAAAUGGGGACAUCCCAAACAUGGAAGCAUAUCUCAUAGCUAGCCCAGCCAAUACAUCCCAAAUAGGGACAUCCCAAGCAUGGAGGCAUAUCUCACAGCUAAAAGAAAGAUGUUUAACACCCC